This 1602-nucleotide long non-coding RNA is filed under the name Trifolium pratense (red clover). RNAcentral describes it as "long non-coding RNA (TPRA_LNC010024)". The record is from RNAcentral. Lineage: Eukaryota; Viridiplantae; Streptophyta; Magnoliopsida; Fabales; Fabaceae.
AUCCAUCCCGUAGGUAAUUUCAGUUUGUUCUUUUCCAAAUCCCUAAUUUUCUUCAGUUGCAUUUCUAAUCACUUUCUGUUUCGUUUUUUCUUUUCAUUCUCUCAUUGGAGGUAAAAUUUUCAUACCUAAUUGAAGGAAUCACGCUCUCGCAUGACACAAUCAGGUGAGAGAGAUCCAAAAUAUUUUCACUUUCUUGCUUUUAUCCUCUCAUGAUUUCUGGUUUUUUCUCGCCUCAUAUAUUGUUCUCUUUCUCUCUGUUUUUAUCUUUCACAACAGGAAAUAAUGGUAGAAAGUUGGUAUGAGAGGUGAAAAAUUCUUGACUACAUAUACUUAAGGUAAACAUGUUUUUGGUGAAUAUAUGUUUGGUCUCCACUUUUAGCUCUGGUUCUGAAUAUACUAAUUGAACUUUUACUGUCUAUAUUUAUUAUUUUAAUUUUGAUUGUAACUGAUAUGUUGCUUUGUAGUUUAUCAAUUGGUAGAGUUUAUCAAUUGGUUUUGCUACACCAAUAACUAUUGUUAUACAUGAAUAAGUGAAGAGGAUUGGUUGCAUCCUCCAAAAAAAUAGGUUUUGAUAUUUUAUUGAUUACAAAUUAGUAGAUCUAAUGUUUAUUUGUUUAUCUUUUUGAUUAGUUUAUAUGUAUUGAGCACACUAUUAUUUAAUUGUGAGAUGCUAAUUUGAAUAGUUUGGGAUCAAAGACUACUUUCUUUUUUUUGUUUUGGUAAAUUAGUUUGGAUUAUUGGAGAAACCAGUUCCUAUUUUUCCUCAAGUUACCCACGUUGAUAGCAACCUCUUUUUAGAUUGAUUUCAAGUUAUUAACUAAUAUAAAAUAUCCUAUCAAUUGGUGUUUACUUCUUUUUAGUUACUAUUUUUUGUAUUUAUUCUUUUUAUAUCGAUUUUGGAAAAGAGGUUUUUGAAAAGAUUGUUGAUGACAGGGAUAUGACAAAGAUUGUUACCAUUAUUGCAUUCUCUUUGAUGAAAGNNNNAUUUCAAUUCUUGAAUUGGCUUUAAGUUUGUAAUUGUUUUGUCUAUUUUUUCUUUGAAAUCAGAAAUUAUUUACUCUAGCCAAUGUGGGUGACUAUGAGUUUGUCUAUUGAAAGAAUCUAAACAAUAUGUAGCUACUAAUUUGCAUGAGUUUGUCUAUUCAAAUUAGUAACUGUUGCUACUCAUAUGAAGCCCAUUUUAAUUUUUAAUUAGGAUAAUUUUCAUGAGUUUGUUUUAACUAUGAGUAAGUUUUAUGAACAUACUUAUUUCUUUUAGCUUUGUUAAACUUAGGCAUAUUACUUAUUGUGCACUUCAUGGAGAAAAGGAAUUAUUAACCUUUUUCUAUAUCAACAUUGUUGAAGGAUUUAGAACCAGUCUCUUUGAAUGCUUUUCAUUUUUGUUUUUAAAUAAUGCAAAUAUCUGAUCUAUUUCUUUUUUGGAUUUUCAAUUCAGCAGUUAACUUUUCAUUAUUAAUCUUUUUUGUGGUUAGAGCACAUUGGAUAGUGCAGUUGCUAGCUUUUUACCAAUAUUCUAUAGCCUUAUGUUCACUUUCAAUUUCAUUUGUAACAGAUGGUUAAGAAAUUUGUCUAAUCAUUUACAUUACCAAUUUUGAAUCCCAG